CGCGGCGCAGCUCCGGGGCCCGCAGUCGGCCGGGUACGCGGGGAGCGGGGUUCGGCCGUGGGGCUCCGGGCAAGUGCCCGCUCGGGUGGCUCACGAUGCGCGGCGGGCAGGACGAGGCGCGGGCCCGGGUGCUCCAGUUCACCAACUGCCGCAUCCUGCGAGGCCGGGCGCUGCUCAGGUGUGGGGUGCGGGGCCGAGCGCUGCUCAGGGAGGAUUUGUGGGUGCGUGAAGGCCGCAUUCUGGACCCGGAGAAGCUGUUUUUUGAGGAGCGACGAGUGGCGGAUGAGCAGCGGGACUGCGGGGGCUGCAUCCUGGCGCCCGGCUUCAUCGACGUGCAGAUCAACGGUGGAUUUGGCGUUGACUUCUCUCAGGCCACGGAGGACGUGGGUUCGGGGGUCGCCCUGGUGGCCCGGAGGAUCUUGUCGCACGGAGUCACCUCCUUCUGCCCCACCUUGGUCACCUCACCACCGGAGGUUUAUCACAAGGUCCUUCCUCAGAUCCCUGUGAAGAGUGGUGGUCCCCAUGGGGCAGGGGUCCUCGGGGUGCACCUGGAGGGCCCAUUCAUCAGCCGGGAGAAGCGAGGUGCACACCCCGAAGCCCACCUGCGCUCCUUUGAGGCCAACGCCUUCCAUGAUGUACUGGCCACCUACGGGCCCCUGGACAACGUCCGCAUCGUGACGCUGGCCCCUGAGCUGGGCCGGAGCCGAGAGGUGAUACGGGCACUGGCGGCCCGUGGCAUCUGUGUGUCCCUAGGACACUCGGUGGCCAACCUGCAGGCCGCGGAGGAAGCUGUGCAGUGUGGGGCCACCUUCAUCACCCACCUCUUCAAUGCCAUGCUGCCUUUCCACCACCGUGACCCAGGGAUUGUGGGGCUCCUGACCAGUGACCGGCUGCCACCAGGCCGCCACAUCUUCUACGGGAUGAUCGCUGACGGCAUGCACACCAACCCUGCUGCCCUGCGCAUUGCCCACCGGGCCCAUCCCCAGGGGCUGGUGUUGGUCACCGACGCCGUUCCUGCCCUGGGCUUGGGCAACGGCCGUCACACACUGGGGCAGCAGGAGGUGGAAGUAGUUGGGCUGACAGCCUACGUGGCAGAGCCUGCCCUCUCUGCUCUGAAGGCACCAAGACGCUGAGUGGCAGCAUAGCCCCGAUGGACGUGUGCGUCCGGCACUUCCUGCAGGCCACAGGCUGCAGUGUGGAGUUGGCCCUGGAGGCUGCGUCCCUGCACCCCGCUCAGCUGCUGGGGCUGGAGAAGCACAAGGGCACCCUGGACUUCGGGGCCGAUGCAGACUUCGUGGUGCUCGAUGACUCUCUCCACGUGCGGGCCACCUACAUCUCGGGCGAGUUGGUGUGGCAGGCGGAAGAGGCCAGGCAGUGACCGAGGACCACAGCCGGAAAGGAUGCCCAGCCUUAGCUGGACGCGGUCAGGGCUGAGCCGUGGAGGAGCUGGUCUCCAGGGAGCGAGUGGGCGCCCUGCCCCAGGUGGAGGCCUCCGCUCAGGAGGCAGCUGGAUAAACACGCGCCCAGCAGGGACUUGUCUGGUC
This is a non-coding RNA of Callorhinus ursinus (northern fur seal), 1544 nucleotides long. NCBI's taxonomy places the organism in Eukaryota, Metazoa, Chordata, Mammalia, Carnivora, Otariidae. The record is from RefSeq and is a predicted model, not a curated record.